GAGUGGCGUACGGGUGCGUAACACGUGUGCAACCUGCCUUAUACCGGAACAUAACGUUGAGAAAUUGACGCUAAUAUUCCAUAAUAUUUUAGAAAGGCAUCUUUUUAAAAUUAAAGUUAGCAAUAAUGGUAUAAGAUGGGCACGCGAUCCAUUAGUUAGUUGGCGAGGUAACGGCUCACCAAGACGACGAUGGAUAGGGGUUCUGAGAGGAUACACCCCCACACUGGAACUGAGACACGGUCCAGACUCCUACGGGAGGCAGCAGUAAGGAAUAUUGGUCAAUGGAGGCAACUCUGAACCAGCCAUGCCGCGUGCAGGAAGACAGCCCUACGGGUUGUAAACUGCUUUUAUUGGAGGAUAAAAGAGAAUACGUGUAUUCUUUUGCAGGUAUCCAAUGAAUAAGCAUCGGCUAACUCCGUGCCAGCAGCCGCGGUAAUACGGAGGAUGCAAGCGUUAUCCGGAUUUAUUGGGUUUAAAGGGUGCGCAGGCGGACUGAUAAGUCAGUGGUGAAAUUUACAUGCUCAACAUGUAUCGUGCCAUUGAUACUGUCAGACUAGUAUUCAAAUGACGUAGCUGGAAUGUGUUAUGUAGCGGUGAAAUGCUUAGAUAUAACACAGAACGCCGAUAGUGAAGACAGGUUACGAAUUUGUGAUAGACGCUCAUGCACGAAAGCGUGGGGAUCAAACAGGAUUAGAUACCCUGGUAGUCCACGCUGUAAACGAUGUUCACUCGUUGUUGGAUGUUUACCAUUCAGCGGCUAAGCGAAAGCGAUAAGUGAACCACC
Molecule: ribosomal RNA, 784 nt
Filed under: uncultured bacterium
Lineage: Bacteria
Description: bacterial SSU rRNA
Rfam family: Bacterial small subunit ribosomal RNA
Source: RNAcentral